RNAcentral lists this ribosomal RNA (570 nucleotides) under Trigonopterus heberti. Its description in RNAcentral is "SSU rRNA". It matches the Rfam family "Eukaryotic small subunit ribosomal RNA", at positions 24 to 572 of the family's 1831-position model. Lineage: Eukaryota; Metazoa; Arthropoda; Insecta; Coleoptera; Curculionidae. The record is from RNAcentral.
UCAUAUGCUUGUCUCAAAGAUUAAGCCAUGCAUGUCUCAGUACAAGCCAAAUUAAGGUGAAACCGCGAAAGGCUCAUUAAAUCAGUUAUGGUUCCUUAGAUCGUACCCACAAUUACUUGGAUAACUGUGGUAAUUCUAGAGCUAAUACAUGCAAACAGAGCUCCGACCGGAGACGGAAGGAGUGCUUUUAUUAGAUCAAAACCAAUCGGUGGCGGGUUCGCUCGUUAUCGUACAACUUGGUGACUCUGAAUAACUUUACGCUGAUCGCACGGUCAUCGCACCGGCGACGCAUCUUUCAAAUGUCUGCCUUAUCAACUGUCGAUGGUAGGUUCUGCGCCUACCAUGGUUGUAACGGGUAACGGGGAAUCAGGGUUCGAUUCCGGAGAGGGAGCCUGAGAAACGGCUACCACAUCCAAGGAAGGCAGCAGGCGCGCAAAUUACCCACUCCCGGCACGGGGAGGUAGUGACGAAAAAUAACGAUACGGGACUCAUCCGAGGCCCCGUAAUCGGAAUGAGUACACUCUAAACCCUUUAACGAGGAUCAAUUGGAGGGCAAGUCUGGUGCCAGCA